GUAUCUACACAAUGAUGUUCAGUUUUCCCCACACUGAAGGACAAUGGGGCUCAGCUUUGAAGCAGAUAAAGUGCUCUGUUGCUGAAAUCACAGUAAGACGGUAUUGGGUCUAAUGUAGCCUUGAGCAUCCCUUCCUUACCUGGAGAUAAUUGCAAGAUACAGUAUACUACAGAAGGUAAACUACUUUUCAUUGCUCUUUUGUUUGCAGCCUACUGGAAUAAAAUUUCCUAGUACCCU
Molecule: long non-coding RNA, 237 nt
Filed under: Numida meleagris (helmeted guineafowl)
Lineage: Eukaryota; Metazoa; Chordata; Aves; Galliformes; Numididae
Description: lncRNA (ENSNMEG00000012000.1)
Source: RNAcentral